UACGGGGGGGGCAAGCGUUGUUCGGAAUUACUGGGCGUAAAGGGCUCGUAGGCGGCCAACUAAGUCAGACGUGAAAUCCCUCAGCUUAACCGGGGAACUGCCUCUGAUACUGGAUGGCUUGAGAUUGGGAGAGGGAUGCGGAAUUCCAGGUGUAGCGGUGAAAUGCGUAGAUAUCUGGAGGAACACCGGUGGCGAAGGCGGCAUCCUGGACCAACACUGACGCUGAGGAGCGAAAGCCAGGGGAGCAAACGGG
This 253-nucleotide ribosomal RNA is filed under the name uncultured bacterium. RNAcentral's name for it is "partial 16S ribosomal RNA". It matches the Rfam family "Bacterial small subunit ribosomal RNA", at positions 524 to 776 of the family's 1533-position model. The record is from RNAcentral.